RNAcentral lists this transfer RNA (72 nucleotides) under Patescibacteria group bacterium. RNAcentral's name for it is "tRNA-Val". It matches the Rfam family "tRNA". Rfam says of the family: Transfer RNA (tRNA) molecules are approximately 80 nucleotides in length. Their secondary structure includes four short double-helical elements and three loops (D, anti-codon, and T loops). The record is from RNAcentral. RNAcentral also lists the same sequence under 3 other names.
GGGCGCGUAGUUCAGUGGUAGAACGCUACAUUGACAUUGUAGAGAUCAGAGGUUCGAUCCCUCUCGCGCCCA